Molecule: ribosomal RNA, 446 nt
Filed under: uncultured bacterium
Lineage: Bacteria
Description: partial 16S ribosomal RNA
Rfam family: Bacterial small subunit ribosomal RNA
Source: RNAcentral
CCUACGGGAGGCAGCAGUCGAGAAUCUUUCACAAUGGGGGAAACCCUGAUGGUGCGACGCCGCGUGGGGGAAUGAAGGUCUUCGGAUUGUAAACCCCUUUCAUGUGGGAGCAAAUUAAAAAGAUAGUACCACAAGAGGAAGAGACGGCUAACUCUGUGCCAGCAGCCGCGGUAAUACAGAGGUCUCAAGCGUUGUUCGGAAUCACUGGGCGUAAAGCGUUCGUAGGCUGUUUAUUAAGUCGUGUGUGAAAGGGGCGGGCUCAACCCGAGGACGGCACAUGAUACUGCGAGACUAGAGUAAUGGAGAGGGAACCGGAAUUCUAGGUGUAGCAGUGAAAUGCGUAGAUAUCGAGAGGAACACUGGUGGCGAAGGCGGGUUCCUGGACAUUAACUGACGCUGAGGCACGAAGGCGAGGGGAGCGAAAGGGAUUAGAUACCCCUGUAGUC